RNAcentral lists this small RNA (29 nucleotides) under Bombyx mori (domestic silkworm). RNAcentral describes it as "ovarian small RNA-30614". The record is from RNAcentral. Lineage: Eukaryota; Metazoa; Arthropoda; Insecta; Lepidoptera; Bombycidae.
UGAAAUGGUUACCGAUCCGUCAGCGUAGA